UACGUGGGGUGCAAGCGUUGUUCGGAAUUACUGGGCGUAAAGCGCGUGUAGGUGGCUAUUUAUGUCAGGUGUGAAAGCCCUCGGCCUAACUGAGGAAGUGCGCCUGAAACUGAUUGGCUUGAGUACGAGAGAGGAGGACGGAAUUCCCAGUGUAGAGGUGAAAUUCGUAGAUAUUGGGAGGAACACCGGCGGCGAAAGCGGUUCUCUGGGAAUGUCCUGACGCUGAGGAGCGAAAGUGUGGGGAGCGAACAGG
RNAcentral lists this ribosomal RNA (253 nucleotides) under uncultured bacterium. RNAcentral's name for it is "partial 16S ribosomal RNA". It matches the Rfam family "Bacterial small subunit ribosomal RNA", at positions 524 to 776 of the family's 1533-position model. The record is from RNAcentral.